Phrynosoma platyrhinos (Desert horned lizard) is the source of this 73-nucleotide non-coding RNA. The record is from the annotation of a GenBank genome assembly. Lineage: Eukaryota; Metazoa; Chordata; Lepidosauria; Squamata; Phrynosomatidae.
GGCAGUGUGGUGUAUUGGUUUGAGUGUGAGACUAGGAUUCUGGGAGGCCGGGGUUCAAAUCCCCAUUCAGCCA